RNAcentral lists this long non-coding RNA (4978 nucleotides) under Citrus maxima (pomelo). Its description in RNAcentral is "long non-coding RNA (CMAX_LNC001456)". Lineage: Eukaryota; Viridiplantae; Streptophyta; Magnoliopsida; Sapindales; Rutaceae. The record is from RNAcentral.
AUUCUUAUUCAAAUAAAUCCACAAAUCCAAACGUCAAAUACUAAAUAAUCUCUCUCGAGGACAUAUAAAAAUAAUAACAAAAGUCUCAAACUCCAAAUUACACGUUCAUAAAAAAGUAACUAAAUAGAAACACAAGUCUAUUCCUCCUCUUAUUCAAUCGCAAACGGAAACUGGAAAAAUUACUAACUCCAAAGCUAAGCGCACCUCUCAAAAGAAACUUAAUCUGCAAAAAGUAAUGACGAGGGGUGAGCCGUCAACUCGGUAAGUAAAACCAUUUCUAACAUACUAUGCUUAUCGAUACGAAGAUAUUGCAAGCCUUCUUUUGUUUAAAACAUAUAUCAUAAUCCAUAAAUUUUCAUAAAACGAUAUAUCACAUUAACAUAAGAUAAAUUCUUAAUAAUUCAGAAUAUUCAAAAGAAUAUUUACUUACGAAGCAAAUCAUGUAAUACGUAUACAGAAACAAAAAGGUUAGCUCAUGUCACAUAGUGUCACCUAUAGUCCCGGUGACCCGGCCAGAAACAGAAUCAGAAUAUCGUGUGCACACUCAGAACAUAAACCCAGUACUGGUCCAGACAGAUAUAUCAUAUAUUACGAUUAGAAUUAGAAUAACUAUGGACAAUGAGCCAAAACAUUAGGAAUCUCAUUCAAUCAUCAAUAAUUGAAAUCAAACAUGGGUAAAAACAUUCGUAUCAAAUUUAUAAAAGUUCAUAACAAUAAUUUAGGCUUGCAUAACAUUUAUAAAUAAAAUCAUAAAAGUAGGCAUGUAACAAAAUAACUUACAUAUUCAAAAGCAUUUAUAAAAUACUUUGUUAAAGAGAAUUUAGCUUUAAAACAUUUACAUAAAACUAAUUUUGUUAUCAAAAUCAAUUAAUCCUUUAAGCAGUAUAAAAACAUUUAUACUUAUAAUAAUAAUAUCAAAAUACUUAUACAUAUCCAGUAUGCUAGGAAUGAAGUUACUUACCUCGACAAAUGAACUUGAAUUAACCCACCUCUAAGCUUCUAAGAGCCUCAAUCACCUUCAACUCCUUAAACAAAUACAAGAUAUGACAAUUAAUGACUUAUUCUAAGAAUCUGAUUUUCUAAUUCAUACCUGUACAGGUCUGAUUCUCAGAAUUUUAACUCUUAAUCUAAAACUCAGAAUGAUAUAAUAUUCUAUGGAACUAUUCUGGACAUCCAUGAAUACCCCAUGUAAAAUUUACAAGAGGAUCCGAUAUCAAAAACAUUUUAAAAACUAUUUACUACUCAGCAAACUCGAAACUGUUUUCACAUAAUCUAAACCAAACAGAACGGGUUCCGUAAUUUUUAUAAAAUAAAAUACUAACCAGAAAAUUAUAAAAUUAAAACUGGGAAUCCUAGACACAUAUAUUAACCUACAUAUAAACUUUCAGAAUUUUCCGAGUUCAUUUGAUGGUACAAAUAGUCUUGUGAAUCCGAUCGCAAUGCUGGAAUCGCAGUUUUCCAGUGCGGUGGUUUCUGUUUCGAAAAUACAUAUAAAAUUCAAAACGAAAUCGAAUUCAAUGAAAUAAAAUUUAAUCAAGAAUCCCUACAUGUCUAGUUCCCAGAAAUAUAAAUUUUAUAAGAAAAUUCGUUCAGAAAAUAUAGCUUUAAAUUCGAGAUACUCAUGCUGUCCAGAAUUAUCCUGUGCUUAAUACGUCAAUGAUUGAUUAACUAAACUCAUAAUAAAUCAAAACCCUAAACAAGGCCUAAAUAUAUUAUAAACCAUGCAUUAUGAUCUACAACCAUUAGAAUCGUGCCAAUAUAAACUCUAGCUAGAUAGAGUGAUUAGAAAUCUGUUGAGAACAUGGAGAAUAACUUACCCGUCGCUUGAUUCUCUCCUAAACAAAGGUUUGAAUCCUAGGAUUUGGGUAAGAGCGUAAAGAGCAGCAGGGAAGAAGAAUAAACGUUGUGAAUUUAGGGUUAUGGGAGAGAAAAAGUAUGAAUUUAUAGGGAGUCUUAAGAAACCCUAUUUAGUUAGGAAAAAUAACCAUUUUCCCAAAAUUAUCUCAUAAAUAACCUCUUAAUAAGGGUUAUGGGCCACCCAUAAUUCUCAAUGAAAGCCCAAUUUCCAUAACUUAAUAUAUAUGAGAAUUUGUGUAAUUUCCUAUAUUACACAAUCCUGGCUCUGAUACCACAAUUGUAACACCCCAAAUCUAACACGUGUGGAGCACGUGAAGAAGGAGGUUACUCACAAAUCAAUGAUCUAUACUCAUAAGUUUCAAACUGAAAUACCUCCAAUUCUUAUUCAAAUAAAUCCACAAAUCCAAACGUCAAAUACUAAAUAAUCUCUCCUGAGGACAUAUAAAAAUAAUAACAAAAGUCUCAAACUCCAAAUUACACGUUCAUAAAAAAGUAACUAAAUAGAAACACAAGUCUAUUCCUCCUCUUAUUCAAUGGCAAAUGGAAACUGAAACUUAUUAGCUCCAAAGCCAAGCACACCUCUCAAAAGAAACUUAAUCUGCAAAAAGUAAUGACGAGGGGUGAGCCGUCAACUCAGUAAGUAAAGCCAUGCUUAACACACUAGGCCCAUCGAUACCAAAAAUAUUGCAAGCCUUCUUUUGUUUAAAACAUAUAUCAUAAUCCAUAAUUUUCAUGAAACGAUAUAUCACGAUAACAUAAGAUAAAUUCUUAAUAAUUCAGAAUAUUCAAAAGAAUAUUUACUUACGAAGCAAAUCAUGUAAUACGUAUACAGAAACAAAAAGGUUAGCUCAUGUCACAUAGUGUCACCUAUAGUCCCGGUGACCCGGCCAGAAACAGAAUCAGAAUAUCGUGUGCACACUCAGAACAUAAACCCAGUACUGGUCCAGACAGAUAUAUCGUAUAUUACGAUCAGAAUCAGAAUCAGAAUCAGAAUAACUAUGGACAAUGAGCCAAAACAUUAAGAAUCUCAUACAAUCAUCAAUAAUUGAAAUCAAACAUAGGUACAAAACAUUCGUAUCAGUUUCAUAAAAGUUCAUAUCAAUAAUUUAGGCUUGCAUAACACUUUAUAAAUAAAAUCAUAAAAGUAGGCAUGUAACAAAGUAACUCACAUAUUCAAAAGCAUUUAUAAAAUACUUUGUUAAAAAGAAUUUAGCUUUAAAACAUUUACAUAAAACUAAUUUUAUUAUCAAAAUCAAUUUACCCUUUAAGUAGUAUAAAAACAUUUAUACUUAUAAUAACAAUAUCAAAAUACUUAUACAUAUCCAGUAUGCUAGGAAUGAAGUUACUUACCUCGAGAAAUGAACUUGAAUUAACACACCUCUAAGCUUCUAAGAGCCUCAAUCACCUUCAACUCCCGUCGCUUGAUUCUCUCCUAAACAAAGGUUUGAAUCCUAGGAUUUGGGUAAGAGCGUAAAGAGCAGCAGGGAAGAAGAAUAAACGUUGUGAAUUUAGGGUUAUGGGAGAGAAAAAGUAUGAAUUUAUAGGAAGUCUUAAGAAACCCUAUUUAAUUAGGGAAAUAACCAUCUUCCCAAAAUUAUCUCAUAAAUAACCUCUUAAUAAGGGUUAUGGGCCACCUAUAAUUCUCAAUGAAAGCCCAAUUUCCAUAACUUAAUAUAUAUGAGAAUUUGUGGCGUUACAAUUUCUCCCCUCCUAACAAAAAUUUCGUCCUCGAAAUUAAAAGGUUAGCUCAUUGUAACCCUUAAUUACAAUUAAGUAUCUUGCCAGGUCUUGGUUGGGUCAUGACAUUAUGGUAUCAGAGCGGCUCCGCGUGUCCUCUUGAGCGAUGGUGGGGCAAACCUCAGCGAGGACGCUGAGUCCCCAAGGGGGGGUGUAUGUAACACCCUAGGCGAAUCCCACAUCGGCAAAGCACGGGAGAGAUGCUGGGUCAAAAGCAUUUAUAAAAUACUUUGUUAAAGAGAAUUUAGCUUUAAAACAUUUACAUAAAACUAAUUUUGUUAUCAAAAUCAAUUAAUCCUUUAAGCAGUAUAAAAACAUUUAUACUUAUAAUAAUAAUAUCAAAAUACUUAUACAUAUCCAGUAUGCUAGGAAUGAAGUUACUUACCUCGACAAAUGAACUUGAAUUAACCCACCUCUAAGCUUCUAAGAGCCUCAAUCACCUUCAACUCCUUAAACAAAUACAAGAUAUGACAAUUAAUGACUUAUUCUAAGAAUCUGAUUUUCUAAUUCAUACCUGUACAGGUCUGAUUCUCAGAAUUUUAACUCUUAAUCUAAAACUCAGAAUGAUAUAAUAUUCUAUGGAACUAUUCUGGACAUCCAUGAAUACCCCAUGUAAAAUUUACAAGAGGAUCCGAUAUCAAAAACAUUUUAAAAACUAUUUACUACUCAGCAAACUCGAAACUGUUUUCACAUAAUCUAAACCAAACAGAACGGGUUCCGUAAUUUUUAUAAAAUAAAAUACUAACCAGAAAAUUAUAAAAUUAAAACUGGGAAUCCUAGACACAUAUAUUAACCUACAUAUAAACUUUCAGAAUUUUCCGAGUUCAUUUGAUGGUACAAAUAGUCUUGUGAAUCCGAUCGCAAUGCUGGAAUCGCAGUUUUCCAGUGCGGUGGUUUCUGUUUCGAAAAUACAUAUAAAAUUCAAAACGAAAUCGAAUUCAAUGAAAUAAAAUUUAAUCAAGAAUCCCUACAUGUCUAGUUCCCAGAAAUAUAAAUUUUAUAAGAAAAUUCGUUCAGAAAAUAUAGCUUUAAAUUCGAGAUACUCAUGCUGUCCAGAAUUAUCCUGUGCUUAAUACGUCAAUGAUUGAUUAACUAAACUCAUAAUAAAUCAAAACCCUAAACAAGGCCUAAAUAUAUUAUAAACCAUGCAUUAUGAUCUACAACCAUUAGAAUCGUGCCAAUAUAAACCCUAGCUAGAUAGAGAUUAGAAAUAUGUUGAGAACAUGGAGAAUAACUUACCCGUCGCUUGAUUCUCUCCUAAACAAAGGUUUGAAUCCUAGGAUUUGGGUAAGAGCGUAAAGAGCAGCAGGGAAGAAGAAUAAACGUUGUGAAUUUAGGGUUAUGGGAGAGAAAAAGUAUGAAUUUAUAGGAAGUCUUAAGAAAC